UGUCUAGGGAUGGGAAUCGAACCCACAGUGUUCCGCUUACCGGGCAGAUGCCAUGUCCACUAGGCUACCCUGGAC
RNAcentral lists this transfer RNA (75 nucleotides) under Cordylochernes scorpioides. Its description in RNAcentral is "tRNA-Thr". The record is from RNAcentral. Lineage: Eukaryota; Metazoa; Arthropoda; Arachnida; Pseudoscorpiones; Chernetidae.